RNAcentral lists this long non-coding RNA (280 nucleotides) under Elaeis guineensis (African oil palm). RNAcentral describes it as "long non-coding RNA (EGUI_LNC063070)". Lineage: Eukaryota; Viridiplantae; Streptophyta; Magnoliopsida; Arecales; Arecaceae. The record is from RNAcentral.
CUCACACCAAAGAGCUCUUUUUGAAAAUUUUGGAAUGCCCAAAAUUGGGUUGGGCGUGGACUCUAUGGCUCCUCCUCUACUUGGAUGAAUACCCUAGCCCUAGUCUACAAAAGGGUAGAUCCUCUCUUUGGCAUCAUAUCAAAAGUCUCUUGCUGGUUUUUAUUUUUUUAGAGCUUCUUCACUUCUUCCUCUCUUUCUCCUCUAGAUCUCUUCAUCAUUUAGAGCAUCCAAGGUAUUUGAAGAAGAAGGAAGAAAUCAGCCUCCAUGUUUUCUUGCAAGC